Molecule: ribosomal RNA, 360 nt
Filed under: Triticum aestivum (bread wheat)
Lineage: Eukaryota; Viridiplantae; Streptophyta; Magnoliopsida; Poales; Poaceae
Description: partial small subunit ribosomal RNA
Source: RNAcentral
AACUUCAUUUUUUAAAUCCUUCACGCAGAGGGGGGUGGCUGUUUAUGCUUCUUCGUCAGGGACUACUACUACUACAUGCUACAAACACGUCUUGUGAUAUUUGACCCCAUACUAUAUGGAGGACGUCUGUUCCAGCAGUGGGGGGACAUGUACAUAAGGAUUGAGGGAUGCAGGUUAAAAUGGAUUAGGAACCACCAGGCUAAGCUACGUGCUGACUUAUACCAAGGCGUUGUCGAUAGCAUCACGGCAGGGGAGACACGAGCAAGCUCUAUUGGCACUAGGACUGUUCUCCCAUGGUCAUUCUAGGGGGGAUUCCGUGACAUGAAGCGGAGGCAUAUGGACGCCAUGUCAUUGGUGUAG